UAAUAGCUCACUAGUCGAGAGGUCCUGCGCCGAAAAUGUCCGGGGCUGAAACACACUACCGAAGCUUGGGAAUUGACGAAUGUUAAUUGGUAGAGGAGCAUUCUUAACGGGGCGAAGCUGUACCGGAAGGAGCAGUGGACUGUUAAGAAGAGAGAAUGCCGGAAUGAGUAGCGAGAGGAAGGUGAGAAUCCUUCCGGCCGAAUAUCUAAGGUUUCCAGAGUAAAGCUGAUCUGCUCUGGGUAAGUCGGGGCCUAAGGCGAGGUCGAAAGACGUAGUCGAUGGAUAACAGGUAAAGAUUCCUGUACUAUAUCAUAACAGAACUGUGGGGACGCAGACAGAGAGCAUAAGCCGGGAAUGGAAAAACCGGUACAAGCGAGGUAGGAGUGCAUCAGGCAAAUCCGGUGCACAAUCUGAAGACGUGAUGUGGGGCGUAAAGCCGGAAGUAUGUGAGCUGGCUGCCAAGAAAAGCCGCUAUUGUUUAUGAUAUACCCGUACCGUAAACCGACACAGGUGGAUGAGGAGAGAAUCCUAAGGCCGACGGGAGAAGCAUUGUUAAGGAACUCGGCAAAAUGACUCCGUAACUUCGGGAGAAGGAGUGCCAUGUAAAAGUGGCCGCAGAGAAUUGGCCCAAGCAACUGUUUAGCAAAAACACAGGUCUAUGCAAAACCGAAAGGUGAGGUAUAUGGGCUGACGCCUGCCCGGUGCUGGAAGGUUAAGGGGAGAGGUUAGCGCAAGCGAAGCUUUGAACUUAAGCCCCAGUAAACGGCGGCCGUAACUAUAACGGUCCUAAGGUAGCGAAAUUCCUUGUCGGGUAAGUUCCGACCCGCACGAAAGGCGUAAUGAUUUGGGCACUGUCUCGACAAUGCACCCGGUGAAAUUGAAAUACCAGUGAAGAUGCUGGUUACCUGCGCCAGGACGGAAAGACCCCAUGGAGCUUUACUCCAGCUUGAUACUGGGAUUCGGUUAUACAUGUACAGGAUAGGUGGGAGGCUAAGAAGUGAGGACGCCAGUCUUCACGGAGCCGCUGUUGGGAUACCACCCUUGUGUGACUGGGUUUCUAACCUGCAGCCGUGACCCGGCUGGGGGACAAUGUCAGGUGGGGAGUUUGACUGGGGCGGUCGCCUCCGAAAGGGUAUCGGAGGCGCUCAAAGGU
RNAcentral lists this ribosomal RNA (1153 nucleotides) under human gut metagenome. RNAcentral describes it as "bacterial LSU rRNA". It matches the Rfam family "Bacterial large subunit ribosomal RNA", at positions 1135 to 2317 of the family's 2925-position model. The record is from RNAcentral.